RNAcentral lists this ribosomal RNA (2415 nucleotides) under Ceratomyxa ayami. RNAcentral's name for it is "eukaryotic LSU rRNA". It matches the Rfam family "Eukaryotic large subunit ribosomal RNA", at positions 335 to 2896 of the family's 3401-position model. The record is from RNAcentral. Lineage: Eukaryota; Metazoa; Cnidaria; Myxozoa; Bivalvulida; Ceratomyxidae.
CGAUAGCGAACAAGUACUGUGAAAGAAAUUUGAAAAGGCGCCUUUAGGAGGGGUGGUUAAAAUUACGUGAAACGGUUGGCAGGGAAGCGUGGGUGAGUUUGAGAUGUAUAUUUUUCUAUAAAUGUAUAUAUUGAUUUUGACUUUUCGGUUUCUGGAGGGGAGUUGAAAUUUGAAUUUUCAAUCUACCCAUCUGAAAUGGGGAGUAAAAAUAUAUAAAAAAAUUGUGCCCUACUCUAGUAGGGACAAAUUUAAAAAAAUCAAAUAAACAAAACCCCCGACCCGUCUCGAAACACGGACCAAGGAUGCUACAUCGGCGGCGAGUCGCGGGGCAAAACACCCUGAGGCAAGGUGAAAGCAAGUUUGGCGGUCAGCCAACGGCAGUUUAAAAAUAAAAUUGAGCUAGCCGCCGGUGCAGGACCCGAAAGAUGGUGAACUAGGCUUGGCCAGGAUGAAGCCCGGGGAAACCCCGGUGGAAGUCCGAACAAGUGCUGACGUGCAAAUCGCUUUGGUGAGCCGAGUCUAGGGGCGAUAAACUAAUCGAACCAUCUAGUAGCUGGUUCCCUCUGAAAUGUCCCCCAGGAUAGCCGGGUCGGUUUGUUGAAAAAAUCAACCAACGGAGCUUCGCCCGGUAGAGCAAUGAUUAGGAGUGCUGAGGCCGGUCAAGUCUCGACUCAUGGUCAAACUACCAAUGGGCGAAAUGGCGGUGAUUGUCUGAGAUAGAAAUCAUCAUAACAAGUCUCCGACCCGAGUGGACCUGUUUUGGUAAGCAGAACUGGCGACGCGGGAUGAACCGAGGCCCCAGCUAAAGCGCCAAACUCGCACCCAGAGAAACCAGGAAAGGAGUCGGUCGAGUAAGACAGCGGGGCGAUGUCCCUGAAAGUAGGAAAUUCGCCAAGGRAAUGUCUAUCAACUCACCCGCCGAAUCGACGGGCCCUGAAAAAAGGAUGGCGCCCAAGUGCGGGGCCGAUGCUGGGGAAAUUUUUUUUUUAAAAUUUGGUAAGAGGGCGCGUUGGUCUCGGGCAAGGAUUUUUGUAAAUCAAUCUGGAGAGGCCAGCGGUGCAGAUCUUGGUGGUAGUAGCUAUAUUUGAUACUUUAUAUCAGGGCCGAAGCGGAGAAGGGUUUCGGGGCAACAGAAAAUGGCCCCGAGUAAGCCGGGCCUUAGUUUAAUAUUAAUUUUUUUUUAUUUCUCUCGAGUAGAGAAUUGGCGAAAGGGAAACUGGUUAAAAUUCCAGUGCCGGUUCUUGGUAGAUGUGUUUUUUUAUAUUUUUAAUCGACCCUAUCAAAAUUGGCAACAAAAUACAUUCAGAGAAAUGACCCGCCUCUUGUGGGCCUAGUAAAAAUAUCUAUUUUAUUCAACCCGACGCAGCCCCGGAAGUUAAUUUAUAAGAGAUGCGGCUGCCGACGGGAGCUAGUAAUUUUGAAAAUUAUUCUGCCCCACAGAGACGGCCAUGAAAAAUUUCUCAGAAAAAUUGAAUCGACCGUACCCAAUCCGCAUCAGGUCUCCUAGGUUAGAAACCUCUGGCCGCGGCACAAAGGGGGUAAGGGAAGUUGGCAAAAUGGACCCGUAACCUCGGGACAAGGGUUGGCUCUAUUGUAAAAAAAAUAGAACUUGUAAUGACCAGGGGAAUCCGACUGUCUAAUAAAAACACAGCUUUGCAACGGCCGCAAGCCGGCGUUGACGCAAAGUGAAUUCCGCACAGUGCUUCGAUUGUCAAGCGGUAGAAAUACAACCAAGCACGGGUAAAUUGCGGAAGUAACUAUGACUUUCUUAAGCUAGCCAAAUGCCUCGUCAUCUAAUUAGUGACGUGCAUGAAUGGACCAACGAGAUUCCCACUGUCCAUACCUUUUGGCCGGCGAAACCACAGCCAAGGGAACGGGCUUGGCUGAGACAGCGGGGAAAGAAGACCCUGUUGUGCUUGACUCUAGUUUGUAUAGUUGCGGGGCGAUGUGGGUGUAGCAAGGUGGGAGUUUUCUUGAAAUUUUCCCUAUCUAUAUGGGCAUUUUCACUAGACAAAAUUGAAAGACCACUGCCACAUUUGCCCCGUAACUAAGUUUAUAAUUUCUACUUGUCCGUCAAUUAUAGGAAUCGACAAAAACAAAAUAUACAAGUCGGGAGUUUGACUGGGGCGGUACACCUUGACAAUUUCAACCAAGGUGCCCAAAGGCGGGCUCACAGCGGCCAGAGCCCGCAGGUUGAGCGAAAGGGCACAAGCCUGCUUGAUUCUCGCCUUCAGUACGGGCGAAAACCGUGAAAGCGCGGCCUAUCGAUCCUCGGCCCAUUUAAAUUAUAAAUUUAGAAAUGUAGGCGCGUUACAGCCGGGGUGUCAGAAAAGUUACCACAGGGAUAACUGGCUUGUGGCAGCCAAGCGUUCACAGCGACGUUGCUUUUUGAUCCUUCGAUGUCGGCUCUUCCUA